UUUCCUUUUCCAAUUUCUCUGUCAAGGCGUUUUGAUUAUCCUAUUUCAGUGUUCCUUAAUUCUGAAAUUCAACAUUGUUCAAUGCAUACUCUGUUGAUCUGAGCACUGAAACACCCUUGAAAACCUAUUUAGCUCUCUUUCUUUCUUUUUAGCUUUACAAAUUCUUUGAAAAUCUUUUAUUUAGUUCCUUUUCAGUGGAGAAUUUCAUCAAACGGCC
This 217-nucleotide long non-coding RNA is filed under the name Salvia miltiorrhiza (redroot sage). Its description in RNAcentral is "long non-coding RNA (SMIL_LNC011512)". Lineage: Eukaryota; Viridiplantae; Streptophyta; Magnoliopsida; Lamiales; Lamiaceae. The record is from RNAcentral.